Molecule: unclassified non-coding RNA, 249 nt
Filed under: plant metagenome
Description: partial contains small subunit ribosomal RNA, internal transcribed spacer 1, and 5.8S ribosomal RNA
Rfam family: Eukaryotic small subunit ribosomal RNA (bases 1-52)
Source: RNAcentral
GGAAGUAAAAGGUAACAAGGUCUCCGUAGGUGAACCUGCGGAGGGAUCAUUACAGAGUUCAUGCCCUACCGGGUAGAUCUCCCACCCUAUGUUAUUAUUACUUUGUUGCUUUGGCGGGCCGUUAGGCUCCGGCCCGACUACCGGCCCCGGCUGGUAAGCGCCCGCCAGAGGACCCAAAACCCUGAAUAUUAGUGUCGUCUGAGUACUAUAUAAUAGUUAAAACUUUCAACAACGGAUCUCUUGGUUCUG